CGAAGCUAAGAUUACAUUACAGUUUCAAUUUCUUUGCAAAUGCAAUUUAUUGUGACCAAAAUUAAAAUUGUAGAAUCUCAAAAACCUUGUCACAGUUAAAGUCACAAACCAUAUUUGCAAAAUCCUUAAGAACAACUAAAACCUCUUAGGCAACAUAAAUUUCUCGUCUUAUUCUCACAUUUUCCACACCCAAAAUCUGGAAAAGCCAAAUCCAAACACAACCAUUAUACUUCAUUUUCUUCUCAAAAACCCUCAAUUUCUUUCUUCUCAACAUUUCCAAAACUUUGGCUCUACAAAUUUCGCUUUUUUGAAACCAACAUACACUUUGGCAACAUGGCGAGUCAUAAACGACAUGCCCAAAACCAGCAAUGGUCCAAGAUCUAAAGCCUUAGUCGGAGCCACUGUCGUUCCUCCUCUAGAUGAAGCUCAAUUACCUCCAAUGAGGCUACGACAAUGUUGCCACCGCCUCCGAUGAGGACGACCCGUACAACGUGAGCUCUAGUUCCUGGUGUAAGAAGAGGUGAAACAAAUUUAGUUCACGAAGCGACCCACCACCCACCACCAUCCCUAACGUCACUCUGGCAUAGCCCCACCCAAUACCCAAUAAUGUCGUUGUGGCCAUCAAUUGCGAAUUUAGAUUCGGGUUUUCUAACAGGUUGAAUGAUGUUCAAACAAGACAAAGACGACAAGGAAAGAAAGGAUUAGUCAGUUUUAUUUCUCGAUAGAGGCAAGGGAUAUAACUCAGCGAUUGUGUGUCACCUUGAUGUUGUGGAAGUUAUCAGUUCAAGCCUGAUUAUCCAUAAACCCAAUAUCCUUUGGUGAUCUCGAACCUUGUUUCAUGGGAGCAAAUAAUUAGGUGGAAGACUAUAAAGAAUCUCUUGCUAGAGAACACUGGGACAUAAUGCUCUAAUAGGAUGUGACAGCUGGACAUGAGUUUUAUUUUAAUUGCAUGACGUUCCAAACAUGUAUUUUACUUUAUUUUAUCUCACUGUUUAACUUAAGUUCUUUUGUAAACUUGAAUGACCUUGUUUUGAGUUAAAGAUGUUUUU
Molecule: long non-coding RNA, 1049 nt
Organism: Glycine soja
Lineage: Eukaryota; Viridiplantae; Streptophyta; Magnoliopsida; Fabales; Fabaceae
Exons: 4
Source: RefSeq, a predicted model, not a curated record